GGGCCGGAAUGGAUUUGACAGCGGGAGGAGGGGUGUGCAAGCACGCAGUGCGCCGAGGGGCGGCACUUUAAUCUCGGUCCUCAAAAAAUUUAACUGGCGAAAACAACUACGCUCUCGCUGCAUAGUCUGAAGUACAGUAGGACGGCUUUAUUCGAGCUCCAGGAGCUUGAACGAGACAUCGCCCAAGAAGCCGUUUUUUCCGAGGCGUCUUGACCUGGCGGUGCAGCAAAAUCGGGAAUAACAGUGAGUUGCCUCGCGCUCGCUGCGAAACUUUUAGAGGAUAAGGCCAUGGUAGGCGGCUCCGCUCUCGCCUUGGCACGAAAAUUUUAGCGGAGAUAAGCGUGUAGAAAACAUAUUCAUUCCCCGUUUGGACGAGGGUUCAAUCCCCUCCCGGUCCACCA
This 401-nucleotide transfer-messenger RNA is filed under the name Bacteroidaceae. Its description in RNAcentral is "Alloprevotella sp902796835 Standard tmRNA". It matches the Rfam family "transfer-messenger RNA". From Rfam's summary of the family: Bacterial tmRNA, also known as 10Sa RNA or SsrA, is named for its dual tRNA and mRNA-like properties. Its role is to liberate the mRNA from a stalled ribosome. The record is from RNAcentral. RNAcentral also lists the same sequence under 1 other name. Lineage: Bacteria; Pseudomonadati; Bacteroidota; Bacteroidia; Bacteroidales.